This 50-nucleotide ribosomal RNA is filed under the name Trichoderma harzianum. RNAcentral describes it as "partial 28S ribosomal RNA". Lineage: Eukaryota; Fungi; Ascomycota; Sordariomycetes; Hypocreales; Hypocreaceae. RNAcentral also lists the same sequence under 11 other names. The record is from RNAcentral.
UUGACCUCGGAUCAGGUAGGAAUACCCGCUGAACUUAAGCAUAUCAAUAG